UUCACACCUCGGAGGCUGAGUUUCUUU
This 27-nucleotide small RNA is filed under the name Bombyx mori (domestic silkworm). Its description in RNAcentral is "piRNA piR-bmo-1915144". The record is from RNAcentral. Lineage: Eukaryota; Metazoa; Arthropoda; Insecta; Lepidoptera; Bombycidae.